Molecule: long non-coding RNA, 213 nt
Organism: Anastrepha obliqua
Lineage: Eukaryota; Metazoa; Arthropoda; Insecta; Diptera; Tephritidae
Exons: 2
Source: RefSeq, a predicted model, not a curated record
UUCAUUUGAAAUAUUCAAGUCCAAACUUCAAGAUGGCAAAGUUUUUUGUUCUCGUUAGCGGUUUACUCUACGUACUUUCUAUGUUGAGUAUGGCAGUUGCUGAAGUACCCAUGCAGGAAUAUUUUGUAGUAACAGCUGGGAAAAAAUAAAAUGCCUUGCAUCUGUAAAUCUCUUAUGAUGUUUAUAAAAUAAAUAGCAAAAUAAAAAAUUAAA